GGCACAAGCGGAGGAGCAUGUGGUUUAAUUCGAUGAUACGCGAGGAACCUUACCUGGGCUCGAACGUAAGAUGACUGUAGGUGAAAGCUUACAUCUCUUCGGAGCAUUUUACGAGGUGCUGCAUGGUUGUCGUCAGCUCGUGCCGUGAGGUGUCGGGUUAAGUCCCAUAACGAGCGCAACCCCUACCUUUAGUUGCCAUCAGGUUAAGCUGGGGACUCUAAAGGAACUGCCUACGCAAGUAGUGAGGAAGGCGGGGAUGACGUCAAAUCAGCACGGCCCUUACGUCCAGGGCUACACACGUGCUACAAUGGCCGAUACAGAGGGCAGCUACCUGGUGACAGGAUGCAAAUCUCCAAAGUCGGUCUCAGUUCGGAUCGGAGUCUGCAACCCGACUCCGUGAAGUUGGAUUCGCUAGUAAUCGCGCAUCAGCCAUGGCGCGGUGAAUACGUUCCCGGGCCUU
This 460-nucleotide ribosomal RNA is filed under the name uncultured Sphingobacteriales bacterium. Its description in RNAcentral is "bacterial SSU rRNA". It matches the Rfam family "Bacterial small subunit ribosomal RNA", at positions 922 to 1382 of the family's 1533-position model. The record is from RNAcentral. Lineage: Bacteria; Pseudomonadati; Bacteroidota; Sphingobacteriia; Sphingobacteriales.